GAUGAACGCUGGCGGCGUGCAUAACACAUUCAAGUCGAGCGGAGCUUUGAAGAUCAAUCCUUCGGGAAGCGUCUUUGAAGCUUAGUGGCGGACGGGUGAGUAACGCGUGAGCAACCUGCCUUUGUGAGGGGGAUAACGUCUGGAAACGGACGCUAAUACCGCAUGACGUAUGAGAUUCGCAUGUUUUUCAUACCAAAGAUUUAUCGCACAAAGAUGGGCUCGCGUCUGAUUAGGUAGUUGGUGAGGUAACGGCUCACCAAGCCGACGAUCAGUAGCCGGACUGAGAGGUUGAACGGCCACAUUGGAACUGAGAUACGGUCCAG
Molecule: ribosomal RNA, 323 nt
Filed under: uncultured bacterium
Lineage: Bacteria
Description: bacterial SSU rRNA
Rfam family: Bacterial small subunit ribosomal RNA
Source: RNAcentral